CUGUGUAAAACUGUUCAACCAAAGGUGUAGAUGUAUCGAUUUAUCCGUCAAUAUGUCAUAUCCUCAUAAGCUUUGAGCCAGAAUUUACUAUAAUGAGGUACCCAGUUUUCUGGUCACACCUGUGGGUGUUAUAAGGUUCCUCCUGAGUGAAAGUCGACUCACAGCCUGACAUGGGCUGAGUAUCUGGAUUUCCCCUCUUAUGCUGCAGUCAUUACCUGUAGUCUGUCCUUAGGGAGCCAGGGUUAGCCCCAAGGAGCCAUCAAUCAAAGCACAUUCCAGGAACAAACUCCUAAUGCUCCUAAGGCAUUAGGAGCAGUGUAGAAAAGGCCAUUGUGGGAGCAGCAGGAAUUGACAGGAGCCAUGUGACUUGACAAAUCUGGAAGGAUUAGCCUUGGGUCACCCACAGGGACUCAAGUAGUCACUCCCCAUUGAGUAGCCCAGCUUGGGGUUCCAAGGCUCAGGAGGAGAACCCAGCGGUUUUACACAGGUAGGUGACUUUGGAAAGGGCCUUUGGUUGUGCAGCCCCUCGUCACAAACUCUACAUGGAAGUGUGGCUGUGCUGUCCACCCACCCCACACAUUCUUGCAUGUAAUCAUUCAUGCUUCCACACACACGCAAGCUCUCCUCCCUAUAUAUGUGUACAUAUUUACCUUUUAUUUUCGAUAUUCUUUCUCCCAUGACAACGUUGGUAAUACCAAUAGGGAUAGAAGUUUUUUUCAGUUAAAGAGAUAGUCCUUUCCACUGUGUGAUGUCCAAUCCCUAAUUGUGCCUUUUGUCUUCUACCCCUGUUACCAUCCCUCCCUAAACUGAGAAAUAGAUGCCAAUUUUUUCCUGUGUGAUUGCAUCUCAUAUCUUGUGCAUAUGAAUGACAAUGUGGAAGUUUGUCUGCUUUCAGCCUUCUCUCUGACCCUACCAGGCUGAUAUGGAAUAAAACACACGUCCCUUGGCCUUUGCACAUGUGUGCAGAGUCAACAUCCAGCCAGAUCCUUUCCAUUUCCCCUGUUACAACUGCCUGGGGUGAUAGCAACAGGAUCAUUUGUUUACCAUGUCUCUUCAUUUUGGACACUUGGUUUCUGUUGUCCUCCUUCCCAUCUUCUUUUCUUUGAAAGAGAUCAGACCUUGUUGUCUGGGUAUUAAGUCCCAGUUCUGACAGGGUGAGGAUGUGUGACUGACAGGUACAUGGAGUAGAGUCUAUAUCCACCCUUAAACCAGCUGCUGAAUACAUUGAGAUGAAGCUGCCCCACCCCCGCCCAAGAAUGAUUUGCCGUCAUCCCCAGAAAUUCAUUGUGGUGGAUCUGUGUGCAGCCAGACUGCAGAUACCUGCUUCCCGUUCCUUUUCUAGCCAGAUGAGUUACCAGUCCUUCGAGCAUGUUUUAUUCCAUUAGAAUGAGGAGGAGCAAACAGCUUCACUUGGAUAUUUUGACAUACACUUUUCCAUAGUCAUACAGUACAGAUACCAGGAGAGAAGUUGUAUGAAUACAGACGCCCAAGGUGGGCUGGUUGUAGUUGUCAGUGAGCAGAAAGCCAAGAGUAAAUUAUCCCGUUUUUCAACGUACAUGUCUCCCGGAGAGCUGCUUCUUUAUGACAGCCUCAAAUAAUUUCAUGUAAUUGCCUAGAAAUGAGUAGGUUGAUUUUUACUCUGUAAUUUCUGUAGAAGUCAAAGAGACCCUAGAGAAUUGUCUUUACCAAUUCCAUGACCCCCUUCUUUUUUGUAGCCUCAUGGAGAUGAGUGGGAUUGCAGUCUACACAGUGUCCUACCAGGAUGAAGGCUGGUUGGUCACAGCUGCAUAUAUACAGCUAAAGGAAAGGGGGAAAUGUGGCCAAGACCACUUCAGAGAAGUCUUCCUGGGCAGAUUGCAUUUUUGCAUGUGUUUGGGGUAUUCCCCUUUUUAAUCAGUCCUGAAAUAGUAGCAGUUAGAUAUCUAUUAGAAUAUGCACCCAUUUUGGGGGAAGAAAAUGUAAUCAUUGUGCCUUAUUCUUGUCCAUAUCUGAUAAACAUUAGCACAUCCACAGAAGCACACACACCUCUAUGUGUUUUUCACAGCAGGUCUUCAGAUAGGAGCUGUCUACAAAUGGACCUAGGGUUGACAGGAGGAGAAUGGGUGUCUUGAGUGUCGAUCCUGGCUGUUCCUGUCUUACUUAGCCAUGCCUGAACCACCUCGCGCUUCCAGAAUGAGAACGGACCUCUGUCCAGGGCUUAGAGUGUGUCCUGCCUCCUUGUUCCCCGCCAGGUAACUUUGGGACACUGGUCACACUCGACCUGGUCCUAAAAGUUGGCCUGGGACUGACCUGUGCAAGUGCCCACGUCUGAAUGUUUCCUGGCUGGCAAAGGCUGGGGUGCAUUAAACCCUGUGCCCAGUCUAGAUCUUGUCCCUGAGGGCUCAAGCAGUCCCCAGUGGUCACAGUGUAGGUGGGGUUUGUGUUGGUUCCCAUGCCUUGCUAGGGGGACUGCAGGUGAACCCAUCCCUUUUGGUCAGGAAGGCAGGUGAAGGGGACCCUAGUGAGGCCAGGGUCAGGGCAGUGGGACAGCUCCUCCUCCCCAUGGGCGUGAGGAUGCCAUCUGCCAUGUUGGAGACAGCUUGGACAGUGGUUGGCGUUUUUUCCUCAGCCAAGGGUGGAGGGAGUGGACCUGGGGGAAGGGCAGGCGGGCAUUUGUGGUGCUACAGUGCCAUCCAGAGGAACAUGUUUUGUGUUCCCGGGAAGCCAGGCCUGAGGUUUCCUGGGGAGGAGUGGCUUGGGAGUGCAGUCAGGGUCCAGAAGGGACAGGGAAUGGGACCCAGGACAUAUCAGAGCUCUCUGGAGGCCUCAAGGAAUGGUGGCCCAUGGUAGGUGGGGACGUGGAAGCAGCAGAGACAGACAGCAGGCCGAGGUGGACAGCCAGACACCUCGCAGGCCUAUACAGGAAGUCUGGCUGUGAAACCCGGUGGCGGCCAUGUCUGGGCGGGACUAGUGGGAGCCUGCACUGGGGAGCUGAGGCUUGGGGCUGGAAGCUCCAGCUCCAGCCAGACACCUUGCAGGCCUAUACAGGAAGUCUGGCUGUGAAACCCGGUGGCGACCAAUUCUGGGCGGGACUAGUGGGAGCCUGCACUGGGGAGCUGAGGCUUGGGGCUGGAAGCUCCAGACCCAAGGCUCAGGAAAGCUUUCCUGGUGCCACUUCCCUUAGGAGCAAGGGACAGUAUGGCCUAGAUGGCUCCAUGUUCACACUGUAUCCUAGUGAAGAACCAUGGGUGCCUAGUUAUCUUCAGCCAUUGCCAACCGUGGUAGCCAGAGCUGAGAUGUUCCUUUCUCCUUGUUAGAAGACACAGUGGCCAGGCGUGGUGGCACUCCACAAGGCCCACACUCAGAUUGUCACUAGAGUACACCUCUGCUCCCAUUUUCUGUUAUGUCUAUUUCCCAAAUCAUUGGGCAAUUGCCUUGGAACCAGGCCACUCGCCUCUGUCAGUAUUUUAUGCCUCCGACCCUCCCUCAUUUGUGUGCUCUGAGCAUAGCAGGACCUUCACUCUGAGAUCAGGAGUGGAAAAAUGUCUACGGUGACAAACUUUAAACAAGGGAGACUCUGAGUUUCCACUGGCGAGGAGGGAUGUACCUAAACAAUCUAAAGUGCAGGCAGCCAAGUGCCUCCAGAAGGACGGAGCCGUUGGCUUUGGCCCAGAGAGAGACUGCUGUGUAGCAGAAGGGACAGGCAGGGCAGGCUCAGGUGCCAUGGCAAAUGGUGGUAUGUCCUGGUGCCUUCACCCUUGCAUUCCGCUCCAUGUCCUUAUGUGGCUCCAUGGGCAGCAUCAGGCUUGGUGGACUUGGAUUCCAGGGGUAGAGCUAGGAGUACAUGUCCCUUUGCAAGAUGCCAUCUAGAAAGGCAGAGGCUCUGGCCAUUGUCUUGUGUUUUCUUCUCCUUCCUAGAAGUUGAAUAACCAAUUUUUCAUGAAAGAGAGGUGCUUUUCCAAGCAGGUUUUGCUGAACUCCACUUUGUGUAAUUCAAGAGUGGGAAGGGACCCAGGAGACCCUCCUGGGGUCACAGGUGGGAUAUGUUUCUCAAGGGAGGGAGCGAAUGCAGGCAGAGUGUGGUGUUGGGCCUCCAAGGCCUGACUUUUUGGGAGAAGGGUAUCUUCCUUGGAGUGAAAAACGUUGCAAAGGACCUAAAACGGACAUGUCCUUCCCUCCCUCCAGAAUCCAAGAAGACCCUGAGGUGGACAUGUGUACACUUGUAUGCUUGUGUGCACCCAUACUGUGAAGAAACUUCCAUAAAAACACAGUUUGCAUGGUGUAUGUGGGCAACUUUCCCAGGACGAAGGGGAUAACCUCCCACUGUCUUGGCCUUGGGGAUCAGGGAUGGGGUUUUCUGGGUAGCUUCGAUGACUGAGGCAGCAGCAUCCACCAUGGAGGUGCUGGCAUUGGGUCUUGGGCUCUUUUGCAAUUUUGCUGACACCUCUCUGCGUGCUUGGAUGAUUACUAAUACCUUCGAUUUUAUCUGUCAUGACUUUGGCUCAGUAUCUUUAUGUGUGGUCCUGGAGAAAACAGAAGGUGUGCAGUUGCAUGCUUGCACACACAUAGGCAGUGACAGUAGGGCAUCACAGAGACAGAGAGAGAGAGAGAGAGGAUGACAGGGAGGAGGAGUGAGCACAUGGGUGUGGGGAGAGAGAAAGAGACAGACAGGAGAAAACAGGUUGCUAUGGGGAAGACCACACAGAUUUUGGGGGACCAAGGUGGGGUCAUGAGCACAGAAGCUGCAGCUGGGGUGUCCACUGUUCCUUCUAUUUACUGUGUCUUAUUUACACAGUAGUGUUCCUGGGCAGUGUGAUUUUUGAACACAUAUUGGGAGUGUUCUGUUUUCUGCUCAGCCUAGACACGGUUUGGUAAGUUGUCCAUGAGAAUAUAUACUCCCAAGAAAGAAGUUGCAAAUAUUCUGGCUUAUCCUUCUCUGACAUGACACACAGGAGUCCGCAGAAGCAUGCACAGCUCUAUGUAUUUUAAACAGCAGGCACCCUGUUAGGAGCUCUCCUGACAUGGAUCUGGGGCCCCCAGGGGCUGGACAGGUGCCUUAGGGGUGGCACCUGUCUCCAUUCCUAUGUGACCUAUCUAUACCUGAACUACAGUUGGCUGGCAGAGCGAGUAGGUCCUUGUGCUCAUGCCUGCUGUCCCAGUGUCACCCUUUCUUCUAUUUGGACAGGGGCAGGGGAGAGGACUCCUCCAAAAGUUGCCAAGAGGGUGCCGUCCACCAUUUUGGAGCCAGAUUGGACAGUCGUUGGCGUUUUUUCCUCAGCAAAAGGCGGAGGGAGUGGACCUGGGGGAAGGGCAGGCGUGCAUUUGUGGUGCAACAGUGCCAUCCAGAGGAAACUGUUUGGUGCUCCUGGGAAAGCAGGCCUGGGGUUUCCUGGGAAGGAGUGGCUUGGGAGUGCAAUCUGGGGCUAGUAGGAACAGGGGAUGGGACCCCGCAGAGAGAUCAAAGCUAUGAGGAGGCCUUGGGAAGAGUGGGCCAUGGCGGGUUGGGCUGUGGAAGCACUAGGGACAGGCAGCAGGCGGGGUGGAUGACCAGUCGCCUGUCGGACCUGUACAGGAAGUCCGGGCUGCGUAGCUGGUGGCAGCCAUGUCUGGGUGGGACUAGUAGGAGCCUGUAUUAGGGAACAAGGCCUCAAGGCUAUGAGAAGCUUGUGUUCUUCUUCGUUGCCUGUUGUCAUACUCACACUAAGGUGUCACUGAAUGCAUUCUUGCAGAUAACUAUUCUUACUGUUCCAAGUCUUAUUGCCAAGUGAGCAUUUGCAUGAGUCUCUUCCUCAUUUACCUUACCUAAAUUUCACGAGAGCCUCAGGCAAUGACCAGGAGCAUCCUGUGUUUCCUGGUACCCUAUAUAUCUCUGGGUCUCAACCUUGUGCUUGCUCAGGAAGGUUGCAAUCAACAAGGUCUGGUGACCGCAUGUAAUUGUUAUCGUGUUGGCUUCAGUCACGGUCUCUCAUUCCUUUCCUAAUUUUUUUGUCCCUGUUUAUCUAUCUACAAUCCCCUUCGUUCUUGAGUUUCUCAGAUCAGUCACCCAGAUCAGUCAGACCUGCCAAGGCCAGAAAUGAUAUGAAAUACUCCUGGGCACACAGGGCUUUCUCAUGGACCUUUAUGACCUAUGGCCUGCUACUGGAGAACCACUGUCGUGGUCAUACUCUGUGCCAGUUCCCACCUGCCUGUAUCUGUGCUACCUCUUCAACGCUAGCCCAAGGACACAGUAGGCCCAGAACUGCACUCCUUUUCUUUCAUACCUACUGGAUGAUUUCUAAAAGUUAUUGCUGGGUCUCCAGUACUUCGCACUCACUAGUUUCCUGAAUUCAUGUGCAGGCCAUCCAUAUGCACUGAGCCUUUGGGACAACUGACCUAUUUCUCUGUUGAUGAACUGGUCAGGGUAUGGACCUAGAGGAUGUGAUCACACCCCUACCAAAAUCUGUGAGUGUGUUGGUCUUGUUACAAUAAGUCUUACAGCGGUUGGUUGGGAGGACAAACCGAGGAGCACACGGAGAGUUGGAGAACCAUAGUUUAUUCACCAGGGGGCUCAGAGGAGCCUUGCCACCAAAUUCUGAGCCCCAUCUACUGGGUUUCUUCCACUUUUAUUAGGUUAGGGUAUUCCGAGUGGUGGGGUCUCAGGUGGCUGAUGCAGUAGGUAAUCAUGACUGCUGAAGCCAGGUGAUAGGUUAGUAUUAUGUUGAUGAAGGUCUUCCUUAUUAGACUCUGUGUGCUCCAUUACCCCUGGCAGUACUCUGGGAAAGCCAGACCCAAAGAACAUACUGCUCCGCAUUUGUUACCCCAGGUAUAUUUAAUUAGGCGAGAACCCGGUCACGCCACUGCAGGUCAGGGAACAGGGGACGUUUGGAAUGUCCCCCAACUGUAAUGCAUGAGCAAUACAGACCCGUGUCCUCCAGCUCCAGAGAACGGAGGCCAUGUUUACUUGUAGAACCCUGGGGGAUGCUGCUGCGCUUUGUACAAUGGGAGAAGAUGCAUAGCAUGCCAUCCUGUGGGGCCUGUGAUGCAGACUUUCUCUGACAGGAGCGAAAGGAAUCAACCAGAACUUCAGGGGACCAUGCACCGUGUUAGCAUUUCUUAUUUUGUUCUAGUACCCUGUAAUGAGGAUAUCUAUCCUUUCUACAAGAGACUGCCCAUGACAUUCUUGCACUGGCUCCUCCUCUUUACUUGAGUCGGCCUAGGUUUUCUAGAUGGACCCUUAAGUCCCGAUUUCCUGGCAGCUCUGACUGCCAGGAGUGUGUCCCACUUAAUGCCACAAUGUUUCCCCUGUACGGGCAGGAAAGAUCCAACACUAAAUUCCCUGUGGUAGUUUCCCACACAGGUUCCCAAACAUGGCGGCCGUCAGUGACUGGACUCCAGGGACUCUGAAGCCUGGCAGGCCUGGCAGCCAAGGGCUCCUUGGUAGCCCAGCCUGACUCUUCCUCUCUCAUAAAACCAGGGGUUUCCCAGUGGGGUCAGCAGGUGCAGCCCCAGAAUUCGCCCAUUUCCCCAAACUUACCCUUCCUCCUCUCAGAGGCCUCCUGUCAGUGUAUACAGAGACUAGCUGGAAGCCAUACUCAAAAAGAUUCCUCUUGGUGGCAGUGUCGCUCCAGAAAUGCCCACAUUUUGUCCUCCCAGGCCCUCCCUCCACCCUUUAUAGGUGAAAAAACACCAAAUAAAGCUCAAAAGGGAUUCAAGCCCUAAGAGUGGGGUUUAUUCUUUUCAGGUGUGUGGAAGAAGGUGUCUCUUUUUUUCAGGCUCUAGGUGUGGAAUAUAAAUGUGUGAAAAUGUUCAUCCAAAAGUGUAGAUAUAUUGGUUUAUGAAUCAAUACAUCAUCCCUUCAUAAGCUUUGAGCCAGAAUUUACUAUAAGGAGGUACUCAGUUUUCUGGUCACACCUGUGGGUAUUAUAAGGUUCCCCUAAUUAGGUGGCAUGCUCCUUAAGGGAGUAUAGACUCAUAGUUGAACAAUGGCUGAGUAUCUAGGUUUCCUCUCUUAAGCUGCAUUCUUUCCUCAGGGAGCCAGGACUAGCGGCAAGAAGCCAAGCCUAACACAAUCCAGGAGCAAACUGCCUUAGGAGUAUUCUAGAGAAGGAGUAGCAGGAGGCCACUGUGGGAGCAGCAGGAAUUGACAGGGGCCAUGUGAGGGGACAACACUAGAAGGUCGUAGCGCUGGGUCACCCACAGGGAUUCAGGUAGUCACUCCCCAUUGAGCAGCCCAGAUUGGGGUUCCAAGGCUCAUGUGGGGAACCCAGUGGUUCUACACAUGUAGGAGGCCUCUAUAUGGGCCUUUGGUUCUGCAGCCCCUCGUGGCAAACUCUACAUGGAAUUGUGGCUGUGCUGUCCACUCACCCCACACAUUCAUUCACACAAUCAUUCAUGCGUGCAUACACACAAACUGUCUUCACUAAAUAAGUGUAUAUUUUUCCCUUUUCCUUUUCUAUAUUCUUUCUCCCCAUGACAACCUUGGGAAUACCACUUUGGAUAUUGAUUUCUCCCAGUUAAAGAUGCAACCAUUUCCAUUAUGUAAUGUCCAAAUUAUGCCUUUGUCUUCUACUCUUGUUACCAUCCCUCCCUAGAGCGAGAAGUAGAUGCCAAUUUUCUCCGGUGUGUGUUUGUAUCUUGUGUCUUAUGCAUAUGAAUGAAUGUGGAAGUUUGUCUGCUUUCAUACUUCUCUCCAACGCCACCAGGCUGCUAUGGAAUAAAACACAUGUGCUUUGGCCUUUGCACAUGUGUGCAGAGUCAACAUCCAGCCAGAUCCUUUCUAUUUCCCCUGUAACCACUGCCUGGGGUGAUAGCAGCAGGAUCGUUUGCUUACCAUGUCUAUUCAUUUUGGACACUUGGGUUCUGUUUUCCUCAUUCCCAUCUUUUAUUUGAAAGAGAUCUGACCUUGUUGUCUGUUAAGUCCCAUUUCCUGACCAGGUGAGGAUGUGUGACUGAGAGGUACAUGGAGUCUUCUCUGUGUCUUCCCAGAAACCAGCUGCUGAGUACAAUGAGACGCAGCAGACUCCAAGAAUGAUUUGCCGUCAUCCCUAGAAAGUCAUUGUGGUGGAUCUGUGUGCAGCCAGACUGCAGAUACCUGCUUCUUGUUCCUUUUCUAGCCAGAUGAGCUACCAGUCCUUCGAGGAUGUGUUACUCCAUUAAUAUGAGCAUCAAGGGAAUAAGUGUCAUUGGAGCCAACACAGUGUCCAAACUGGAUGAAGGACAGGGCCACCUGCAGAUACACAGCUAAAGCCUCAUAGGAAUGAAUGUGAUUGGAGUCAACACAGUGUCCAUCCAGGAUGAAGGCCGGUGCCACCUGUAGAUAUAGAGCUAAAGGGGGUGAGCGGGAUUGGAGUCAACACAGUGUCUAACCAGGAUGAAGGAAAGGAUGAUGCCACCUGGAGAUACAGAGCUAAAGAAUCCACAGAAGCACGCACACUUCUAUGUGUUUUGCACAGCAAGAUUCCUGGUGGGAGCUGUCUCAACAUGGACCUAGGCUGGGCGCGAGGAAAACAGGCCAUCUAUAUGCGCUGAGACUUUGGGACAACUGACCUAUUUCUCUGUUGAUGAACUGGUCAGGGUAUGGAUCUAGAAGAUGUGAUCACACCCCCACCAAAAACUCCUCAUGGUGAUGAGUGGCAUUGGAGUCAACACAAGGUCCUAACAGGAUGAAGGACACGGUCACCUGCAGAUACACAGCUAAAGGGGACUAUUCCGGUAGAACUGUCUCUUUGUGACAACCCUGAAUGCCAUCUGCAAUUUCCAAGAGGGUGACUUGAUUGGGAGACAUUUCUCUUUAUGGAAGAGGAAGCCUAAGAUGACCCUACCAGAAAGAGCCCUGCAGGAUGGAGGACCCAUUGUGAGAACUGAGAGCCAUCAGGAUUCAGCCAGGAUAGACAUUGGUUGGCACUUUUUUCAGUAGCAAAUAGUGGAGUAACAGGAUAUCAGAAAGUGCGUGAAGGGCAUGCUACCAUUUCUGGUGCAGUAUUGCCAUCAAGAGGGUCAUCUUUGCCAAUUCCAUAUCCCUCUUCUUUAUCACUGGUUCCUGGGAAGCACAGAAAUUGGGGUAAAGUCGGAAUUCCAGGUAGCACAACAGGGCCCUCUGUGGAUUCAGAGAUGCAUGGGGGAAGUGUGUUCUGUGGCCAGUCUGAGCUUUGGAAGCUCCAGAGACAUGCAGUAGGACUAGGUGGAGACCCAGGGUGCCUGUCCUAUAGGGUGCAGGAAGCCCAGCAUCAGAGCCCAGUGGCAGCCAUAUCUGGGUGAGACUAGCUGAAACCUCAGCCAAGAAGCCCCACUUGGGGCUGUAGGAUUUUUGCUUCCUGCCUUUUUGCAGCCUGUAGUUGUGAGGCCAGGGGUUGCUGGCACUUUGCCAGAGGCCUCUCCUCAGUGCUACAGGUCCUAUACCCAAGGGAAGCAGGCUUCUAUGCCGCAGCCUUUGUAGCCUUCUCCUUUCUUGGCCACCUUCCCCAAAAGUCCUGGGAGCAUCAGGGCAAUGAGCAGAGGUGUCCCUUGCUUUCCAUUCACCCCUGGCUAUCCAUGUCCCAACCCUAUACUUCAUUCUCAGGAGACCCUGCCUAAUCUCACCACUCUUAGGUUCAGAUACUACCUCCCUUUCCCCACCACCUCCCAUUUUUCCCUGUGUGCCCAGCCCCUAUCACCCCAUGUUCCCCAGAUGCACUCCCCUUCAAUCAGACCUGCCAACGACGUACAUACACCUGGGCACACAGCCCUUUCUCAUAGACCUUGACCAACCAAUAGCUACUUCUGGAGAACCCCUGGGGUACAUCAAGCCUUUUGCCAGCUCCUACCUGCCUGAGCUAUGCUCCCUGGUCAGCGCUUGCCCAAGGGUCAGGAAGGAAGACUUAAGGCCUAGCACCUCACCCCUUUCCUUUCACAACUCCUAGAUGGGUGCUGAAAAGUCCUCCUUGCCUCCCUCCAUUUCACAUACGUGAGUUUCCCUGUGUGUCGCCCGGUGGUCUUACAUGAGCGGAGCCUUUUAGGACUGAAGGACCUUUUAUUUGCCAAGCCCUAGGUUAAGGUGUGGACCUAAAGGAUCUGAUUGGUCUGUAACAGAGUAGUCACCCCUCCUCCCAUAGAUAUGGAAGCUUAAAUUUGAUAGUGGGAAUAUGUAACAGAGGGAAUGGCCUGAAAUUGGCCUGGAAAAAAAAAGUCAAAAAGAUGUUUUCUGUCUCUUUAAAACUCUCCCCACUCAUUUUGAGAACUGAAGCCUGUAUCCCUGCCUCAGGCAGGUGGCCAGAAUGGGCCUGGGUAAUCAGCCAUCACUGGCACCAGCCUCCCAGGUGGGCAGCUGGCAGAGAUCACAGGCUUUGUCUUUGGCAGAGAUCGGGCAAUUAGAAUAGUUACCACAAUAGCCCAGAACUGAGGGGCACUCUCUUUGAAAGCUCUGUAUUUCUGAUUGUGUUCAGGAAAUUUGGAUUUUGAGAUGAGAACGUCUACCAUUUUUCCUUCUUUGUUGGCAAAGUAAUAAACUUCUCUUUCCUUCUCCCCAAACCACUAUUCUCCUUCUUCUGAUGUGGCCUUGACGAUAAGUGCCGAGCUUUCAGUAACAGGUCCCCAGUCCAAAGCUGUGAGUAUGGUGGUCUCAGUGUGCUCCUUAGUCAUGGGGCAACCCUGUGGGACAGCCAGACCCAGAUAACUUAGACCUCUACAUGUCUGAACCCAAGUGUCUUACCCAAGGAGACAAACAAGGUCAUAAUCCCAAAGGCUGGGGAUCAGGAAGACAUCAUCACUGGAAUGUUUCUAAACUGAAUUGUAUGCAUAAUACAGACCUGAGCCCCCCAACUCCAGAGGAUGAGAGCCAACUUGACCUACCCAUUCCCAGCAAGUACCAGCACUAUCUGCGCUAUGGGAGAAGAUGCUUGGAAUGCCAUCCUGUGGGGCCUGUGACCCAGACUUUCUUUGACAGGAGUAAGAAGACACCAGAAAACAUGAGCUGCAAUGCACCUACGUUACUGUUUUUUUAUCUUAGUGUAGUACCUAAUAAUGAGGAAAUUCUCCAUCUUCUCUAGAAGAGGCUGCCCUUGGCAGUGUAGCCGUGGCUGUCUCCUAUUUACUUGGCUGGGCCUGUGCCCUCCAGAUGGGCCAUCAGGUCCUGGUUUUCCUGUGACACACUCCUAGGACAAUGCCCCUCUCUUCUUUCCCCAACCUUGUUCCUGCACCAAGAGCAAAGAUCCAGAGGCAAAUGCCCUGCAGUCACUUCAGCUCCAGGUUCCUAAGACCUGGCUUCCAUAGCGUCUGGAACCUGGCAGCCCAGGGCUCCUUGGUAGUUGGCCUGUCCCAGUCACUUUUACACAAUUCUGGAUUUGCUGAGUGGGUGGCUUGAUCCAGCUCCAGAAUUCCCAGAGUGCCCCAAACCUACCCUUCGUCCUCUCAGAGGCCUUUCCCUCUGGAUACACAAAGAAGGGCUGGAAGCCAUGCUCAGAAAUCUUCCACUUGAUGGCAUUGUUGCAUCCGAAAUAUCAACCGCCCUAGCCAUCCCGGCUUCUCCCUUUGCCCUUUGUGAAUGAAAAAAUGCUAAGAAGACCCAAAAGCUAUUUGAGCCCUAGAAUUGGGAUGCUGGGCAAAGUGGUAUCCAUUCCUCUCAGGCUCUUAGUAAAAACAUAAAUGCACUAAAACAUUCAUCAAAAGGAGGAUGUAUUGAUGUAUCCAUUGCUACAUCAUCUCCUAUGAGCUCUAAUGGGAAUAUCACCUAAAGGGGUCUUCAGUUCUCUGGGCACCCUUGUCAGUGUUAUCUGUGUUGUCUUGGCUACAAUUGUUGCUCUCAAGGGACAUUGGCUCAUAACUUGAGAUGGGCUGAGUACCUGGAUUUCCCCUCUUACUCUGGAGUCAUUGCCUCUUAUGUAUUCUCAUGGAGCCAGGCCGAGUCCAGCCCAGCCCAAAAGCCUCAUCCAGCUUAAGGCCUGAGGAGCAGGCCUGAGAGGGAGUAGUAAGCCAUAGUGGGGGCAGCAGAAAGUGACAGAGGCCAUGUCAGUUGAGAUGACUGGGAGGGUAACUGGCUGGCUCACCUCAGUGGGUCUCAGGUUGCUCGAGGCGGAAUGACGUGGAUUUGAAGAACUUGGUAUUCAGUUAUUUUUUGCUCCCACCCUCUCUAUGCAGGAGUAAUUAUGUUGGCCUAGGUUGACCAAAGAUCCUAUAAUUCUUCUUGACCAUUUGGACCCUAGCAAAAUAUUUAGGGAAUUCCCUCUUCCUUUUGCUUCCAUUUCUAGGGGUGGAGGCUCCUGUUGUUUUAUAUCCUUUUCCAAUUGCAAGUGAGCUGAUGAGACUUCUAGGGGCUCAGGUGAAGCAUGGAAGUGUUGACCCAAAUAAGUGACUGAGGCAAAAAUCUCAACUAAGGGGGGGUUAUUAAAGAUGUGCCUGAGAAAAAUAUGAACCACAGACAGACUUGUGGCUGUUUUUCUGAAGGGGAAGUUGGAAGCUUCAGUAUUUAAAGGCAUACAGAGAGAAAGAAAAAAAGCAAGGGAAGAGGGGUUGGUGAGGCAAAAUGGUUACAUUCAAAUCUAUAUUUUAUGUAAAAUAAGGGGAAUGUUAGAAGUAAAAAGGGAAUGAAGGAAGCAUCAGUUAUGUAGAUGUCCCUGGGUAGGUAGAAUGCCUGAUCCUGUAUGUCUCCUGUUUGGUUACCUGUAAAGAUAAACUUGUAAUUUAUUAUUAGUGUGGAAUUAAACAGGCUUUAGUUUUCGGUUCUAGGCAUAAUUACAAUUUGUCCUUGCUUAUGGGAGUUCAGCAAGGAAUGUCCUUAAUGAAUGAUCUGUGGGGCCUGUUCUUCACAGGUGCC
Microcebus murinus (gray mouse lemur) is the source of this 13744-nucleotide non-coding RNA. NCBI's taxonomy places the organism in Eukaryota, Metazoa, Chordata, Mammalia, Primates, Cheirogaleidae. The record is from RefSeq and is a predicted model, not a curated record.